UGUAGUCUGCAACUCGACUACAUGAAGCUGGAAUCGCUAGUAAUCGCGAAUCAGAAUGUCGCGGUGAAUACGUUCCCGGGUCUUGUACACACCGCCCGUCACACCAUGGGAGUCAGUAACGCCCGAAGCCGGUGACCCAACCUAUUCUGGAGGGAGCCGUCGAAGGCGGGACGGAUGACUGGGGUGAAGUCGUAACAAGGUACC
RNAcentral lists this ribosomal RNA (204 nucleotides) under uncultured bacterium. RNAcentral describes it as "partial 16S ribosomal RNA". It matches the Rfam family "Bacterial small subunit ribosomal RNA", at positions 1299 to 1500 of the family's 1533-position model. The record is from RNAcentral.